Long non-coding RNA from Lates calcarifer (barramundi perch), 657 nucleotides. RefSeq lists it as uncharacterized. Lineage: Eukaryota; Metazoa; Chordata; Actinopteri; Centropomidae. The record is from RefSeq and is a predicted model, not a curated record. The transcript is spliced from 3 exons.
ACAGUCGUCCCUGGAUGUUUUCAUUAGUUUUAAAUGUCACUCAGCGAUUCAAAAAAAAAAAGAAAAAGAAAAGAUUUGGAGAUUUGGUUUAUAUUCAUUCAUUGUCUGGAGUGAAACACGUCCGGAAGCACUUCAUCUCUAACAGCUGCUUCUAGUUUCUGAGUUGCUGACUAGAUCAUUUCCUUCAGCCAUGUACCCACACGUUUAGGGAUUUGGAUUCAUCCCAGGGAGUGCCGGGCUCGGCCUCGAUCUCUUGCACCUUCUUCAGACCCCCACUGGUGACGAACAAGCGCCGGGCCUUGCUGUCAUGAGGCAGCACCUUCGACGGGGAGGGAGGACAGGGUGUAUAUAUGAGCCUUCAUCAUCUGAAUCACCUAAAUUUAUCUGGAUUAAAAAAGCAGACUACUGACACAGGUCACGACCCUGGUCGGGGACUCGCUCACCUUGCUGAACUGGCACACGACGUGUUUGAGGAUUUUGCUCGGGGCAUCGUAGAGGAGGGGCUCCAGACCUGGCAGACCUCUGCCUUAACCCCCAAUCGCAGCUGACCUGUGACCCAAACUAUCUCCUUGUAUGGCUUUAAAAAAAGAGUUUUUCUUAUCCUCUUGCAGCGUUUCAGCUGCUUAAGGCCUUGUUACACACUCUCCCACAGAGCUG